AAAAAAAAAGUAGAAUGAAGCCUGUAUGGUUCGAAGUGUAUCUAUAUUGACAUGCAUAUUGCAUCAAGUGUCUCGUUAGGUUUUAUCUCUUAGGGAUAUUUGUUCCCCUUGUCCUUCAGGGUAUCUGUUUCUUCCUCCCAUAUCUGGUCUAGAAAGAUGUAAGAGGACCGCUCUUAGUGGAUGACGGCGUACCCUCUGAUGAGAGUGGUAUCGCACUAUCUGUAGGGGUCACCUGUGGCUAAGUAAUGUUGUGACUAUAGACACCUGUUAGGGCCACUAUGGCUGGUACAACUGUGGUCAUAGAUUAUACCAUGGUUUAGCAAACCGAAAAUGGGCCUCAGUAGAUUGUGGUAUCUGUAUCUGAUUUGGUUAUUCCACUUGGGUAGUUGGAAAUCCUUAUUUGCCCUCAAAGAUGGAAGUUGUAAGGACUUUGCGAAGCAUGACACAAAAAUCUAAGCAUCUCAUGAUUUAU
Molecule: long non-coding RNA, 472 nt
Filed under: Carica papaya (papaya)
Lineage: Eukaryota; Viridiplantae; Streptophyta; Magnoliopsida; Brassicales; Caricaceae
Description: long non-coding RNA (CPAP_LNC000317)
Source: RNAcentral